UACGUAGGGUGCAAGCGUUGUCCGGAAUUAUUGGGCGUAAAGAGCUCGUAGGCGGUCUGUCGCGUCGGCUGUGAAAACUCGGGGCUCAACUCCGAGCCUGCAGUCGAUACGGGCAGACUAGAGUUCGGUAGGGGAGACUGGAAUUCCUGGUGUAGCGGUGAAAUGCGCAGAUAUCAGGAGGAACACCGGUGGCGAAGGCGGGUCUCUGGGCCGAUACUGACGCUGAGGAGCGAAAGCGUGGGGAGCAAACAGG
This 253-nucleotide ribosomal RNA is filed under the name uncultured bacterium. RNAcentral's name for it is "partial 16S ribosomal RNA". It matches the Rfam family "Bacterial small subunit ribosomal RNA", at positions 524 to 776 of the family's 1533-position model. The record is from RNAcentral.